AAGCUCAAAGGAGAAGAGGUUUUGUCAAAGGAAAAUAUUGUGGAGCCGAUGCGAGAUAUUAGGAGAGCUCUUCUGGAGGCCGAUGUAAGCCUUCCUGUUGUACGAAGGUUUGUGCAAGCUGUCAGUGACCAAGCUGUUGGUGUUGGUGUGAUUCGAGGAGUGAGACCUGAUCAACAAUUGGUUAAGAUUGUACACGAUGAGCUUGUG
RNAcentral lists this unclassified non-coding RNA (207 nucleotides) under Hevea brasiliensis (rubber tree). The record is from RNAcentral. Lineage: Eukaryota; Viridiplantae; Streptophyta; Magnoliopsida; Malpighiales; Euphorbiaceae.